AUGCGCGAAGAAGAUGAACACAAGAUGGCAUUCAAAACUCACCACGGCCACUUCCAGUUCAGGGUCAUGCCAUUCGGGUUGACAAACGCUCUGGCCACGUUCCAAUGCUUGAUGAACGCCAUCUUCGCCAAGUAUACCCGUAAGUUUGUCAUCAUUUUUCUUGACGACAUCCUUGUUUUCAGUGAGACUCUCGAGGAACACUUGGAACAUCUCUGCAUCGUCCUCAACUUGCUCCGUGAGCACCAGCUAUAUGCCAAGAUGUCGAAGUGCUCGUUCGCGCAAGACCACAUAGACUACCUAGGUCACGUCAUCUCCAAGCAGGGCGUCGCGACUGAUUCCGAGAAGACAGACGCCAUGGCGCAGUGGCCUACUCCAACCAAUGCCACCAAGCUCCGUGGCUUUCUAGGGCUCACCAGCUAUUACCGCAAGUUCGUCCCCCACUACGGGAUCAUCGCCAAGCCGCUCACCCAGCAGCUCACCAAGAAAGGCUUUGAAUGGCCCGAGUCGGCAAAGCUCGCGUUCGACACGCUCAAGAAGGCGAUGGUGACCACGCUGAUGCUCGCCCUCCCCGACUUCGACAAGCCCUUCUCCAUUGAAACCGACGCGUGCGACACCGGCAUCGGUGCCGUGCUCGUCCAAGACGGUCACCCUAUCGCGUACUACAACAAGGCGUUGGGCGUGAAGAACCAGAAGUUCUCCACCUACGAGAAAGAGUUCCUGGCCGUCAUGAUGGCCGUGGACAAAUGGCGCUCCUACCUGCAACGCGAGCCGUUCACCAUCAACACGGACCACAAGAGCUUAUGCAUGCUUGGGGAUCAUCAUCUGGUAACCGAUGUCCAGGACCGCGCCAUGUCCAAACUGGCCGGCCUUCAAUUCAAGUUCCAGUACAAGAGGGGCAUUGACAACGGCGCUGCGGAGGCGCUCUCUCGUGUGGGCAGUCACUACAACGCCAAUGCGAUGUCCCUCUGUCAGCCUGCAUGGAUUCAGGAAGUGGCCAAUUCGUAUGCCACGGAUCCAGAUGCCCAGGAAAAGCUUCAGCAGCUGGCGCUGCAUAGUCCGGACGACGAGGAGUAUGAGCUGUACCGUGAAGUCAUUCACCAUCGCGGGCGGCUAUGGAUCGGCGCAAACACAGCCCUGCGCACCAAACUGAUCAGCGCUCUGCAUGACAGCACCGUGGGUGGCCAUUCUGGCUCGACAGCCACUUACCAACGAGUCAAGAAGCUGUUUGAGUGGAAGGGUUUGAAGCAAUAUGUCGAAGACUAUGUGCGGCAGUGCCAGGUAUGUCAACAAGCGAAGCAUGAGUUGCGCAAACCAGCAGGCAAAUUGGCACCAUUACCCAUUCCUACAGCCCCAUGGCGAGACCUGCCAAUGGACUUCGUCGAGGGUUUGCCCAAAUCAGAAGGGUUCGACAUGAUCAUGGUGUUUGUCGACCGCUUCACCAAGUUUGCACACUUUGUGCCCUUGCGACACCCAUUCACGGCGACACAAGUGGCAAAAGUGUUCUGGGACAACAUUGUCAAGCUGCACGGCAUCCCCUCCUCCAUCAUCUCCGACCGCGACAAAGUGUUCACCAGUGUGCUCUGGCGUGAACUGCUAGCCAGCGCCGGCACCAAGCUCCCCUACUCCACUGCCUAUCACCCUCAGACGGACAGACAAAGCAAGCGCGUGAACCAAUGCAUGGACAUGUACUUGCGCUGCGCUGUCCAUGACACCCCCAUGCAAUGGCGUCGCUGGCUGCCCUCUGCAGAAUUCUGGUAG
Molecule: ribosomal RNA, 1758 nt
Filed under: Triticum aestivum (bread wheat)
Lineage: Eukaryota; Viridiplantae; Streptophyta; Magnoliopsida; Poales; Poaceae
Description: partial small subunit ribosomal RNA
Source: RNAcentral